UACGAAGGGGGCUAGCGUUGUUCGGAAUUACUGGGCGUAAAGCGCACGUAGGCGGGUAUUUAAGUCAGGGGUGAAAUCCCAGAGCUCAACUCUGGAACUGCCUUUGAUACUGGGUACCUAGAGUAUGGAAGAGGUGAGUGGAAUUCCGAGUGUAGAGGUGAAAUCGUAGAUAUUCGGAGGAACACCAGUGGGCGAAGGCGGCUCACUGGUCCAUUACUGACGCUGAGGUGCGAAAGCGUGGGGAGCAA
This 248-nucleotide ribosomal RNA is filed under the name uncultured bacterium. RNAcentral's name for it is "partial 16S ribosomal RNA". It matches the Rfam family "Bacterial small subunit ribosomal RNA", at positions 524 to 771 of the family's 1533-position model. The record is from RNAcentral.